CGCGUAGGCGGACCGUCAAGUCCGGGGUGAAAUCUUUCGGCUCAACCGGAAAAGUGCCUCGGAUACUGGCGGUCUCGAGCGAGGUAGGGGCAGGCGGAACUUCCGGUGGAGCGGUGAAAUGCGUUGAUAUCGGAAGGAACUCCGGUGGCGAAGGCGGCCUGCUGGACCUCUCCUGACGCUGAGGCGCGAAAGCUAGGGGGAGCAAACGG
This 209-nucleotide ribosomal RNA is filed under the name uncultured bacterium. RNAcentral describes it as "partial 16S ribosomal RNA". It matches the Rfam family "Bacterial small subunit ribosomal RNA", at positions 568 to 775 of the family's 1533-position model. The record is from RNAcentral.